GGACAGUUUUCGACUGCUUAGAUCAUCGAAAACAACAGUUCUUAAAAGAUAAUAAAGGUAAACCUUCCAAUUAAUUCAAAUCGAAUUUUACUCGAAAAAUUUACGAUAACGAACAUCAAAAUAAAACCAAGACACUCCAAUAGAUUAUAUUAAUAAACACGGAAACAAUUUUUCCCUGGAUUGAGUCCGAACUAACAGUAUGCCACCAUUACAGCUGUAAUUUUCUAUUCGGUGUCCAGCCAGGGUGCAGAAUUGUUUAAUAUGAAACAUCCACCCUCUUUUAGCCAUCUCAUUUACACGAGUUAUGCAUAUUUUUAAAUUCUUACGGUGUCGAGGGCCUGAAGAAAGGUGAGUACGGCCGUCUCUAUCGAUUCUCCUUCAUACCCCUGGCUAAAAUUAGAAACUAGCAUGAGAAAAGUCACUUCACCAUUCAGUUUUAAGCUAAGGCAAUGACUGUCAAGAAAUAACCAUACUUAUGGCUGAAUUAUAGUAAAUACUAAUAGAGUAAUAUAGUUAAACGCGUCCAGCUCUUUCUGUUAGUUUACGCAUUUUUUAAUACAAAAUCGGUGGAAACGACAUAAGUAGGAGAGCCUCUUCAAAUCUGCCAGGUCACAAUGAAGGACGAGCUGGAUGUGAUCAAAAAUGAAGAAUGGGAAGAAGAGCUGGAAAACAUCGAAUUAACGUGACGUAGUUGUUAGAUCUCCAUUUGAUCAGAAUGAUUUCCUAAAAUGCCAACACUUGGCUAUUUUUGUUUUCCACAAUAUUUUGACCAAGACCAACUACCGUAAAUUAAAUACAUAUAAAUACUUCGUUUUUUUAAUUAAAAUUAGCUUUAUAUGAUCAAAACUCCCUAAUCGGUUCACUAGCCCAUACAAACGAAAAGGGAGGAAAUUUCGUGGUAUAAAAGAGUUUCUACAAUUAAAAAAAGAGACGCAUGGAAAUGGACAAAGUUGAAAAGAAUGUUUGUGCCGCUGUCGACCUUAGCCCAGCGUUUAACUUCAAUUAGUUUUUUCGUUAACUGGAGAAUGGCCGGCCCAGAAAAUAGAGCUAUCACCUUUACAUUAACAGAAGAGAAGAAGAAACGGCUUUUUUUAAUCAUGGCAUAUAUUUUUACCAUCUUAUUUAGAAGUUGGAGAUCCAAAGUAAAGCUAGGCGGAAGCCCGCGAAAUGCCCACGGAUGGCGAAAAUUGGUAAAAAGUAGAAAGAAGUAAACAGUUAGAAUUGGGAGAAAGUAUAAGAAUGUAUAAAAUUUGAAUGAAUAACUUUUUGGUGGCAUUACUGUACUGUAUCAGAUUCGGCAUUUCAUCGGCCGUUUCAUUAAUUGUCACAUCUUAUACCCGUUACAGACUGGACCGCUUGAAGUGCUUUGGGAUAGAGUUUAGCGGAGUGGUGCUUUCCAGACACGAAAUGUUGAAGUACGUUAAGAGUUAGGGCACUUUGAGUUAACGGAUGUCCC
RNAcentral lists this long non-coding RNA (1456 nucleotides) under Androctonus crassicauda. The record is from RNAcentral. Lineage: Eukaryota; Metazoa; Arthropoda; Arachnida; Scorpiones; Buthidae.